GAUGAACGCUGGCGGCGCGCCUAACACAUGCAAGUCGAACGAUUAAAGCACCUUCGGGUGUGUAUAAAGUGGCGAACGGCUGAGUAACACGUGGGCAACCUGCCCCUUUCAUUGGGAUAGCCACGGGAAACCGUGGAUAAUACCGAAUACUUCGAGACUUCCGCAUGGAAGACUCGAGAAAGCUCCGGCGGAGAGGGAUGGGCCCGCGGCCUGUUAGCUUGUUGGUGGGGUAACGGCCUACCAAGGCAAUGAUGGGUAGCUGGGUUGAGAGACCGACCAGCCAGAUUGGGACUGAGACACGGCCCAGACUCCUACGGGAGGCAGCAGUGGGGAAUCUUGCACAAUGGGCGAAAGCCUGAUGCAGCGACGCAGCGUGCGGGAUGAAGGCCUUCGGGUUGUAAACCGCUUUCAGCAGGGACGAGGCGAAAGUGGCGGUACCUGCAGAAGAAGCCCCGGCUAACUACGUG
This 467-nucleotide ribosomal RNA is filed under the name uncultured bacterium. Its description in RNAcentral is "partial 16S ribosomal RNA". It matches the Rfam family "Bacterial small subunit ribosomal RNA", at positions 28 to 507 of the family's 1533-position model. The record is from RNAcentral.